RNAcentral lists this ribosomal RNA (272 nucleotides) under uncultured soil bacterium. RNAcentral describes it as "partial 16S ribosomal RNA". It matches the Rfam family "Bacterial small subunit ribosomal RNA", at positions 26 to 285 of the family's 1533-position model. The record is from RNAcentral.
AGAAUCAACGCUGGCGGCGUGCCUAACACAUGCAAGUCGAACGCGAAGACCCCGCAAGGGGUUGUUAGCGUGGCAAACGGGUGAGUAACACGUGGGCGACCUACCUCAGAGUGGGGGAUAACCUUCCGAAAGGAAGGCUAAUACCGCAUGACAUCCCAUGUUUGGAUACAUGGACAUCAAAGCCGGGGAUCGCAAGACCCGGCGCUUGGAGAGGGGCCCGCGUCCGAUUAGCUAGUUGGUGAGGUAACGGCUCACCAAGGCUCCGAUCGGUA